Canis lupus familiaris (dog) is the source of this 732-nucleotide long non-coding RNA. RefSeq lists it as uncharacterized. The transcript has 3 exons. The record is from RefSeq and is a predicted model, not a curated record. NCBI's taxonomy places the organism in Eukaryota, Metazoa, Chordata, Mammalia, Carnivora, Canidae.
ACACAGGAUCUUCUACAUAUUCUGAAUACUUAGUUGACCACUGAAAAACCAUUCUACCACUUCAAAGUCCUACUUCAAUGCCCCACCAAGGAAUUAGGUAAAUAGCAUAAAAAGGGGGAUGGAGAUAAAAUUUCACAUCCUAAAAUCUGAAGCUCAGUAAGAGCAUGCACCUAUGCUAUAAAAACCAAAGGCUAAUUGUUCUACCGUGAUCUGUUCCUGGGAUGAAGAGAGAUGCUGAAGAUGGAAAAAAUCGUAUUAAAAAUAACAAUCUACCAGAAUCAAGUAAUACUGCACUUUAUGGACAGGGAUGAGUUUAAGUACAAACCCUUCUUUCUUCAUGGUUGAUGUCUGUGCCACACCAGCUUGGAGUAUCACCACUACUUACAGAAAAGUGAAUGCAAACCAAUCAGGCUCCACCCCGAACAUGGGGCUAGAACUGAUGACCCUGAGAUCAAGAGAUGUUACAUCCUCUACUGCCUGAAUCAGCCAAGUUACUCUGAACUUUUUUAAUGUUCUGCAACAUUUUUAAGGGAUAUAUAAUAUUUCAGUGCAUAUACAACCCAUAAUUUCCCCCCAAGCCCCAUUACUAGGGCCUUAGCCUAUUUAAAGAUGUCCACUAUUGGGAAUCCCUGGGUGGCUCAGCAGUUUAGCGCCUGCCUUUGACCCAGGGCAUGAUCCUGGAGUCCCUGGAUGAGGUCCCACAUCAGGCUCCCUGCAUGGAGCCUGCUUCUC